AGUGAACGCUGGCGGUAGGCCUAACACAUGCAAGUCGAACGGCAGCACAGUAAGAGCUUGCUCUUACGGGUGGCGAGUGGCGGACGGGUGAGGAAUACAUCGGAAUCUACUUUUUUGUGGGGGAUAACGUAGGGAAACUUACGCUAAUACCGCAUACGACCUACGGGUGAAAGCAGGGGAUCUUCGGACCUUGCGCGAUUGAAUGAGCCGAUGUCGGAUUAGCUAGUUGGCGGGGUAAAGGCCCACCAAGGCGACGAUCCGUAGCUGGUCUGAGAGGAUGAUCAGCCACACUGGAACUGAGACACGGUCCAGACUCCUACGGGAGGCAGCAGUGGGGAAUAUUGGACAAUGGGCGCAAGCCUGGUCCAGCCAUACCGCGUGGGUGAAGAAGGCCUUCGGGUUGUAAAGCCCUUUUGUUGGGAAAGAAAAGCAGCAGGUUAAUACCCCGCUGUUCUGACGGUACCCAAAGAAUAAGCACCGGCUAACUUCGUG
Molecule: ribosomal RNA, 492 nt
Filed under: uncultured bacterium
Lineage: Bacteria
Description: partial 16S ribosomal RNA
Rfam family: Bacterial small subunit ribosomal RNA
Source: RNAcentral